This 305-nucleotide ribosomal RNA is filed under the name uncultured bacterium. Its description in RNAcentral is "bacterial SSU rRNA". It matches the Rfam family "Bacterial small subunit ribosomal RNA", at positions 334 to 631 of the family's 1533-position model. The record is from RNAcentral.
UUUCCCUACGGGGCGCAGCAGUUAGGAAUAUUCGUCAAUGGGGGAAACCCUGAACGAGCAAUGCCGCGUGAACGAUGAAGGCCCUCUGGGUUGUAAAGUUCUGUUGUUAUGGAAGAACUGUAAGAUUAGGAAAUGAAUCUUACUUGACGGUACAUUUCAAGAAAGCCACGGCUAACUACGUGCCAGCAGCCGCGGUAAUACGUAGGUGGCGAGCGUUAUCCGGAUUUAUUGGGCGUAAAGCGUCCGCAGACGGUUUAUUAAGUAUAUAAUUAAAGCCCGAAGCUUAACUUCGGUUCGUUAUAUAA